Tetranychus urticae (two-spotted spider mite) is the source of this 1268-nucleotide long non-coding RNA. RefSeq lists it as uncharacterized. The record is from RefSeq and is a predicted model, not a curated record. NCBI's taxonomy places the organism in Eukaryota, Metazoa, Arthropoda, Arachnida, Trombidiformes, Tetranychidae.
UGAAUUAUUUGUGAAGUUAUUUGCUAAAUGAAUCUUAAUUGCUAUUUUUUGUGAUUUUGUUCAAUUUAAAUUGUUGUUUAAAUUAUUAAACAGUUAAUUUACUAAGAUUACGUGGUUGAAUUAGGUGUCACCAAGGUAAAAAUGUGCCUUUAUAAAAUCUUUGUAUUGUUAAUAGAUUCAGGAUUGUCACAAUGCUGAUGGAAGUGAAAUUAGAUGGAAAGAAGAUGAAGACCGAGAAGAUGGCAAGGAAAGGAUAAAAUGGGGAGGAAAACAAAAUGGGUGGACCAGAUAAACGUUAAUGCCAUUGGAAUAAAAAAAAGGAGAAAAACAAACGUUAAAUGGAUUGGAGACGAAAUUAAAUUAUCAAAAUGAAAAGGCCUAAAGCAACCAAGGAGUCAAGCAAACCUCAAGGAACCUCAAAAAAGUAAAGGAACCUCAAAGAAACCAAGAAACCUUAAAGAUUCUUAGGAAACUCAGAGAACCAAAGGAGCCUCUUUGAAGACAUGGGAACCUCAAAAAAAUCUAGGAACCUGUAAAUAGGAAGCAUAUCAAGAGUGGAACCUCUAUUUGGACAAAAUUUGGAUCUUCACAAUGAAAGGAUUCAAAUGUGCACCUUAUACAAUUGGACAUGUUCAAGAUUAAUUUAAUGAUUAUUCUGACUGACAUCAUGACAAUGGAAUGGCAAAAAAUUAAAACAAAAUUUGAUAAAUAUAUCACAACUAUAAUCGUGAUUGGUAUAUUUAAUAUCAUUAGAGUUGUUCAACAUUCACUUUGAGUUUAUCCAUAAGUUUAUUUCCAUCUGGCUGUUCAUAAAAUUAUCACAUCAACAUAACUUCCUUUGCUUCUCUACACUUUUUGUGAAUUCCCGUGAAACUCAAACUGUUCAUUGGUUAACAGGGUACUUUGUUAAUAUUGAAUUAAAAUUGAGUAUUCAAACUUUCCUGUUCAAAUGUGUAACCAACAAAAAACAGUAACUGAAAAGCUGUUAUUCAUGUUAACCCAUUUAAUUUAAUUCCCUUUUUUUGGUUUGUUUGUUAAUCCAUUCAACUAUUAGAACCAAAAAAUGUAUUCAAUUAUUUUGUAUUUAUACAUUGUUUUGUUAUCUGUUUGAAUAAGACUUUCAAUUCAUUUCAAUUUUAAUUCAAUUUUAAUUCAAUUUUAACACCAACCACAAUUGUAAAUGUAAACCAGAUACACCUUCAACUGUUUACCUUUACAAUGAUAAAGCUAUUAACCGUAAUAUUUACUCAGUGAGAGUACAAUCAAAA